RNAcentral lists this ribosomal RNA (2612 nucleotides) under Escherichia coli. RNAcentral describes it as "partial 23S ribosomal RNA". It matches the Rfam family "Bacterial large subunit ribosomal RNA", at positions 333 to 2925 of the family's 2925-position model. The record is from RNAcentral. Lineage: Bacteria; Pseudomonadati; Pseudomonadota; Gammaproteobacteria; Enterobacterales; Enterobacteriaceae.
UGGAAGCGUCUGGAAAGGCGCGCGAUACAGGGUGACAGCCCCGUACACAAAAAUGCACAUGCUGUGAGCUCGAUGAGUAGGGCGGGACACGUGGUAUCCUGUCUGAAUAUGGGGGGACCAUCCUCCAAGGCUAAAUACUCCUGACUGACCGAUAGUGAACCAGUACCGUGAGGGAAAGGCGAAAAGAACCCCGGCGAGGGGAGUGAAAAAGAACCUGAAACCGUGUACGUACAAGCAGUGGGAGCCUCUUUAUGGGGUGACUGCGUACCUUUUGUAUAAUGGGUCAGCGACUUAUAUUCUGUAGCAAGGUUAACCGAAUAGGGGAGCCGAAGGGAAACCGAGUCUUAACUGGGCGUUAAGUUGCAGGGUAUAGACCCGAAACCCGGUGAUCUAGCCAUGGGCAGGUUGAAGGUUGGGUAACACUAACUGGAGGACCGAACCGACUAAUGUUGAAAAAUUAGCGGAUGACUUGUGGCUGGGGGUGAAAGGCCAAUCAAACCGGGAGAUAGCUGGUUCUCCCCGAAAGCUAUUUAGGUAGCGCCUCGUGAAUUCAUCUCCGGGGGUAGAGCACUGUUUCGGCAAGGGGGUCAUCCCGACUUACCAACCCGAUGCAAACUGCGAAUACCGGAGAAUGUUAUCACGGGAGACACACGGCGGGUGCUAACGUCCGUCGUGAAGAGGGAAACAACCCAGACCGCCAGCUAAGGUCCCAAAGUCAUGGUUAAGUGGGAAACGAUGUGGGAAGGCCCAGACAGCCAGGAUGUUGGCUUAGAAGCAGCCAUCAUUUAAAGAAAGCGUAAUAGCUCACUGGUCGAGUCGGCCUGCGCGGAAGAUGUAACGGGGCUAAACCAUGCACCGAAGCUGCGGCAGCGACACUAUGUGUUGUUGGGUAGGGGAGCGUUCUGUAAGCCUGUGAAGGUGUGCUGUGAGGCAUGCUGGAGGUAUCAGAAGUGCGAAUGCUGACAUAAGUAACGAUAAAGCGGGUGAAAAGCCCGCUCGCCGGAAGACCAAGGGUUCCUGUCCAACGUUAAUCGGGGCAGGGUGAGUCGACCCCUAAGGCGAGGCCGAAAGGCGUAGUCGAUGGGAAACAGGUUAAUAUUCCUGUACUUGGUGUUACUGCGAAGGGGGGACGGAGAAGGCUAUGUUGGCCGGGCGACGGUUGUCCCGGUUUAAGCGUGUAGGCUGGUUUUCCAGGCAAAUCCGGAAAAUCAAGGCUGAGGCGUGAUGACGAGGCACUACGGUGCUGAAGCAACAAAUGCCCUGCUUCCAGGAAAAGCCUCUAAGCAUCAGGUAACAUCAAAUCGUACCCCAAACCGACACAGGUGGUCAGGUAGAGAAUACCAAGGCGCUUGAGAGAACUCGGGUGAAGGAACUAGGCAAAAUGGUGCCGUAACUUCGGGAGAAGGCACGCUGAUAUGUAGGUGAAGUCCCUCGCGGAUGGAGCUGAAAUCAGUCGAAGAUACCAGCUGGCUGCAACUGUUUAUUAAAAACACAGCACUGUGCAAACACGAAAGUGGACGUAUACGGUGUGACGCCUGCCCGGUGCCGGAAGGUUAAUUGAUGGGGUCAGCGCAAGCGAAGCUCUUGAUCGAAGCCCCGGUAAACGGCGGCCGUAACUAUAACGGUCCUAAGGUAGCGAAAUUCCUUGUCGGGUAAGUUCCGACCUGCACGAAUGGCGUAAUGAUGGCCAGGCUGUCUCCACCCGAGACUCAGUGAAAUUGAACUCGCUGUGAAGAUGCAGUGUACCCGCGGCAAGACGGAAAGACCCCGUGAACCUUUACUAUAGCUUGACACUGAACAUUGAGCCUUGAUGUGUAGGAUAGGUGGGAGGCUUGGAAGUGUGGACGCCAGUCUGCAUGGAGCCGACCUUGAAAUACCACCCUUUAAUGUUUGAUGUUCUAACGUUGACCCGUAAUCCGGGUUGCGGACAGUGUCUGGUGGGUAGUUUGACUGGGGCGGUCUCCUCCUAAAGAGUAACGGAGGAGCACGAAGGUUGGCUAAUCCUGGUCGGACAUCAGGAGGUUAGUGCAAUGGCAUAAGCCAGCUUGACUGCGAGCGUGACGGCGCGAGCAGGUGCGAAAGCAGGUCAUAGUGAUCCGGUGGUUCUGAAUGGAAGGGCCAUCGCUCAACGGAUAAAAGGUACUCCGGGGAUAACAGGCUGAUACCGCCCAAGAGUUCAUAUCGACGGCGGUGUUUGGCACCUCGAUGUCGGCUCAUCACAUCCUGGGGCUGAAGUAGGUCCCAAGGGUAUGGCUGUUCGCCAUUUAAAGUGGUACGCGAGCUGGGUUUAGAACGUCGUGAGACAGUUCGGUCCCUAUCUGCCGUGGGCGCUGGAGAACUGAGGGGGGCUGCUCCUAGUACGAGAGGACCGGAGUGGACGCAUCACUGGUGUUCGGGUUGUCAUGCCAAUGGCACUGCCCGGUAGCUAAAUGCGGAAGAGAUAAGUGCUGAAAGCAUCUAAGCACGAAACUUGCCCCGAGAUGAGUUCUCCCUGACUCCUUGAGAGUCCUGAAGGAACGUUGAAGACGACGACGUUGAUAGGCCGGGUGUGUAAGCGCAGCGAUGCGUUGAGCUAACCGGUACUAAUGAACCGUGAGGCUUAACCUUACAAC